Molecule: ribosomal RNA, 436 nt
Filed under: uncultured bacterium
Lineage: Bacteria
Description: partial 16S ribosomal RNA
Rfam family: Bacterial small subunit ribosomal RNA
Source: RNAcentral
AACGAACGCUGGCGGCAUGCCUAACACAUGCAAGUCGAACGAGAUCCUUCGGGGUCUAGUGGCGCACGGGUGCGUAACGCGUGGGAAUCUGCCCUUAGGUUCGGAAUAACAGUUAGAAAUGACUGCUAAUACCGGAUGAUGACGUUAAGUCCAAAGAUUUAUCGCCUGAGGAUGAGCCCGCGUAGGAUUAGCUAGUUGGUGUGGUAAAGGCGCACCAAGGCGACGAUCCUUAGCUGGUCUGAGAGGAUGAUCAGCCACACUGGGACUGAGACACGGCCCAGACUCCUACGGGAGGCAGCAGUGGGGAAUAUUGGACAAUGGGCGCAAGCCUGAUCCAGCAAUGCCGCGUGAGUGAUGAAGGCCUUAGGGUUGUAAAGCUCUUUUACCCGGGGUGAUAAUGACAGUACCGGGAGAAUAAGCCCCGGCUAACUCCGUG